Molecule: ribosomal RNA, 486 nt
Filed under: uncultured bacterium
Lineage: Bacteria
Description: partial 16S ribosomal RNA
Rfam family: Bacterial small subunit ribosomal RNA
Source: RNAcentral
AUUGAACGCUGGCGGCAUGCCUUACACAUGCAAGUCGAACGGCAGCACGGGUGCUUGCACCUGGUGGCGAGUGGCGAACGGGUGAGUAAUACAUCGGAACAUGUCCUGUAGUGGGGGAUAGCCCGGCGAAAGCCGGAUUAAUACCGCAUACGAUCUACGGAUGAAAGCGGGGGACCUGCGGGCCUCGCGCUAUAGGGUUGGCCGAUGGCGGAUUAGCUCGUUGGGGGGGUAAAGGCCUAGCAAGGCGACGAGCAGUAGCUGGUCUGAGAGGACGACCAGCCGCAUGGGGACUGAGACACGGACCAGACGCCUACGGGAGGCAGCAGUGGGGAACUUUGGACAGUGGGCGAAAGCCUUAUCCAGCAAUGCCGCGUGUGAGAAGGAGGCCUUCGGGUUGUAAAGCACUUUUGUCCGGAAAGAAAUCCUUGGCCCUAAUACGGUCGGGGGAUGACUGUACCGGAAGAAUAAGCACCGGCUAACUACGUG